Molecule: long non-coding RNA, 1105 nt
Filed under: Nicotiana benthamiana
Lineage: Eukaryota; Viridiplantae; Streptophyta; Magnoliopsida; Solanales; Solanaceae
Description: long non-coding RNA (NBEN_LNC036440)
Source: RNAcentral
GAUUAUAUGAUCUUGCAUCUAAGAAGUAUUUGGUCUCCAGGGAUGUUCUCUUUCAUGAAUCAGUUUUUCCUUUUAAAUCUGUGCCUUCUUCUGCUCAUCCUCCUGCUUCUUCUUUUCCCUUCAUUCCAUCUGGAGAAGAUGAUGAUGCCUCUGAUUCUCCCAUUUCUCUCUCUCCUCCCUCUUCUCCCACAUCUGUGCAGCUGCCUUUUCCUACUCCUUUGAGUCCUGCUGGGCCAUCUACUGUUUUAGCUCCUUCUCCCUCUGUUCCUGCUCCCACAAAAUCUCAAAGACAACAUAAUCCUCCUUCCUAGCUUAAGGAUUAUGUUUGUCAACUACCUGCCUUUUCUAGCUCAUCUUCCUCCUCUUUGGAAUCUGAGCCUCUAUACUAUUCUCAGGCUGCAUCUGUUCCAGCAUGGCAAGUUGCCAUGAGACAGGAGUUUGAAGCUUNNNNNNNNNNNNNNNNNNNNNNNNNNNNNNNNNNNNNNNNNNNAUGAGACAGGAGUUUGAAGCUUUGGACACUAACCAUACUUGGGAUGUUGUUCCUCUUCCUCCUGGUAAGAAACUCAUUGGUUGCAAAUGGGUUUACAAAAUUAAAUACAAAGCUGAUGGCAGUGUUGAAAAGUAUAAGGCCAGAUUGGUUAUUAGGGGUGACACACAGGUUGAGGGGAUUGACUUUACUGAAACUUUCUCUCUAGUGAUUAAAAUGACUUGUGUCAAGUGCCUUAUUAUUGUGGCUGUCAAGAAUCAUUGGCCUCUAUUUCAGCUUGAUGUCAAUAAUGCAUUUCUUCAUGGUGAUUUGGAUGAGGAUGUUUAUAUGAAACUUCCUCCAGGUUUGACUGUCUCUCCUUCUACUUCUGGUUCUGUUUCUUCCCCUUCUUCUCCUUCUCCUCCUCUGGUAUGCAAGCUCAAGAAAUCCUUGUAUGGGCUGAGACAGGCAUCCAGACAAUGGUAUGCAAAAUUGUCUUCUGCUCUUUAUUCCAGAGGGUAUACUCAUUCUUUGAAUGACUACUCCUUGUUCAUCAAGGGUAAUCCUGGCUCCUUUGUGGUGGUAGCUGUUUAUGUGGAUGACAUAAUACUCACUGAGGAUGACAGUGAUGAACUGACU